UACGAGGGGGGCAAGCGUUGUUCGGAAUUAUUGGGCGUAAAGGGCGCGUAGGCGGCGCCACAAGUCACUUGUGAAAACUCUGGGCUCAACUCAGAGCCUGCAAGCGAAACUGUGGUGCUGGAGUAUGGGAGAGGUGCGUGGAAUUCCCGGUGUAGCGGUGAAAUGCGCAGAUAUCGGGAGGAACACCCGUAGCGAAGGCGGCACUCUGGGCCGGAACUGACGCUGAGGAGCGAAAGCGUGGGGAGCAAACAGG
This 253-nucleotide ribosomal RNA is filed under the name uncultured prokaryote. Its description in RNAcentral is "partial 16S ribosomal RNA". It matches the Rfam family "Bacterial small subunit ribosomal RNA", at positions 524 to 776 of the family's 1533-position model. The record is from RNAcentral.